GACGAACGCUGGCGGCGUGCUUAACACAUGCAAGUCGAACGGAAAGGCCCUGCUUUUGUGGGGUGCUCGAGUGGCGAACGGGUGAGUAACACGUGAGUAACCUGCCCUUGACUUUGGGAUAACUUCAGGAAACUGGGGCUAAUACCGGAUAGGAGCUCCUGCUGCAUGGUGGGGGUUGGAAAGUUUCGGCGGUUGGGGAUGGACUCGCGGCUUAUCGGCUUGUUGGUGGGGUAGUGGCUUACCAAGGCUUUGACGGGUAGCCGGCCUGAGAGGGUGACCGGCCACAUUGGGACUGCGGUACGGCCCAGACUCCUACGGGAGGCAGCAGUGGGGAAUAUUGCACAAUGGGCGGAAGCCUGAUGCAGCAACGCCGCGUGCGGGAUGACGGCCUUCGGGUUGUAAACCGCUUUCGCCUGUGACGAAGCGUGAGUGACGGUAAUGGGUAAAGAAGCACCGGCUAACUACGUG
This 468-nucleotide ribosomal RNA is filed under the name uncultured bacterium. RNAcentral's name for it is "partial 16S ribosomal RNA". It matches the Rfam family "Bacterial small subunit ribosomal RNA", at positions 28 to 507 of the family's 1533-position model. The record is from RNAcentral.